This 753-nucleotide long non-coding RNA is filed under the name Nicotiana tabacum (common tobacco). RNAcentral's name for it is "long non-coding RNA (NTAB_LNC004786)". The record is from RNAcentral. Lineage: Eukaryota; Viridiplantae; Streptophyta; Magnoliopsida; Solanales; Solanaceae.
AGUGAAGAUUUCAAUAAACCUGGCCAAUUGAGAAAUGCAAAAUUUACAUCCGGCCAACAUCCACUCAUAUGAGAUAAGGCCUUUCUACAUCAAAGCUACAAUGUCAAGGAUCUCUUUGUCAUAGCGCCCAAAUUUCAUGCUUGUCUUUUAAACCUGAAAAUAACCAAGAAUUUUCAAGAUGUGUUUGUAAAAUCUGUGCAACAACGAUUGCUACCUAAAAAAUUCCAAAAAGUACUCACUUCUUCAAUUUGUACUAGUUGAAAAAAAACUAUAGGCCGAGUUUAAGGUAUUACCAUGGCUUUCGCUACAUUUUAGGGAAUUUGUUUUUUUGAUAUUAGAUGGAGAGAUAUGAAAUAUGAAGAAAAUAAGAUGUCAAAUGAGAAUAUGCAAACGGUGAUGUUGGUGGAAAGGUCGUGACCCUUGUAUCUCCUUUAGAAGUCAUUUUUCCAGAAUGAUGAAAUUCAAACGCCGUGAUCCAUUCGUAUGGGAUAAGUGAGUAAAGGAAAAACAAAAAUACAUAUGUAUGAACGAAGGAAGGAAAACAUAACUUUUAAAAAGAGAUGAUGCAUCCACUCCAUAGAGAUGGACAAAAGCUUUGAAGAUGACAAAUGGUUAUUAAAGCCCAAUCCGAAAAAUAUUUUCAGUUGCCUUUUCAACAUACAUGAUGUAGAAAUUCCUCACCAUUAUGACAGGCAUUAGAUUCUAUAUAUAAUUGCCAUAAGUCCUUCAAAAUUUUGCCCUUGGGUUCUCUUA